GCGCUUUGGAAUCCUGCAAAUAUAAUAAUGAUAAUUAAACAAAACACUCAGAGAAACUGCCAACCCUAGGAUGAAGUAUAUUGUUACUGUGCUUUGGGAUUAAAAUAAGUAACUACAGUUUAUAGAACUUGUAUACUGAUACACAGACGCUAAAAAGGGAAAGGGUUUAGAUGAGAAGCUCUGCUAUGCAAUCAAGAAUCUCAGCCACUCAUUUCUGUAGGGGCUGCAGGAGCUCCCUGUAAAGAGAGGUUAUGGAGUCUGUAGCUUCAGCAACCACUGAUCCACUUCCAGUCACUAUCCAUGAGUUUUUAUUUCCAAAUACAUGAAAUCAUAGGAAUUUCUGGUUUUUCCUGUUGGAGCCCAAGGAGCAAGGGCAGAAUGAGGAACAUGAUGUUUCUUACCGACAGUUACUCAUGACGUCUCCAUCCAGGACUGAGGGGGGCAUCCUUCUCCAUCUAGGACUGGGGGCAUCCUUCUCCAUCCAGUAUUGGGGGUCUUCCUCCUCCAUCCAGGACUUGGGGGUCAUCCUCCUCCAUCCAGGACCUGAGGGGUGUCCUUUUCUGCGCUUCCUUGGAUGGCAGUCUUUCCCUUCAUGUUUAUAGUGACUUACCAUUAAAUCACUGUGCCGUUUUUUCCUAAAAUAUAUGGGGU
RNAcentral lists this long non-coding RNA (651 nucleotides) under Pan troglodytes (chimpanzee). RNAcentral's name for it is "lincRNA". The record is from RNAcentral. Lineage: Eukaryota; Metazoa; Chordata; Mammalia; Primates; Hominidae.